This 433-nucleotide ribosomal RNA is filed under the name uncultured bacterium. RNAcentral describes it as "partial 16S ribosomal RNA". It matches the Rfam family "Bacterial small subunit ribosomal RNA", at positions 29 to 507 of the family's 1533-position model. The record is from RNAcentral.
AGCGAACGCUGGCGGCAGGCCUAACACAUGCAAGUCGAACGAACUCUUCGGGGUUAGGGGCGGCCGGGGGGGUAACACGUGGGAACGUGCCUUUUGGUUCGGAAUACCUCAGGGAAACUUGUGCUAAUACCGAAUGUGCCCUUCGGGGGAAAGAUUUAUCGCCAUUAGAGCGGCCCGCGUCUGAUUAGCUAGUUGGUGAGGUAACGGCUCACCAAGGCGACGAUCAGUAGCUGGUCUGAGAGGAUGACCAGCCACACUGGGACUGAGACACGGCCCAGACUCCUACGGGAGGCAGCAGUGGGGAAUCUUGCGCAAUGGGCGAAAGCCUGACGCAGCCAUGCCGCGUGAAUGAUGAAGGUCUUAGGAUUGUAAAAUUCUUUCACCGGGGACGAUAAUGACGGUACCCGGAGAAGAAGCCCCGGCUAACUUCGUG